This 464-nucleotide ribosomal RNA is filed under the name uncultured bacterium. RNAcentral describes it as "partial 16S ribosomal RNA". It matches the Rfam family "Bacterial small subunit ribosomal RNA", at positions 28 to 506 of the family's 1533-position model. The record is from RNAcentral.
GACGAACGCUGUCGGCGUGCUUAACACAUGCAAGUUGAACGGAAAGGCCCUGCUUGCAGGGUACUCGAGUGGCGAACGGGUGAGUAACACGUGGGUGAUCUGCCCUGCACUUCGGGAUAAGCCUGGGAAACUGGGUCUAAUACCGGAUAGGAGCCAUUUUUAGUGUGAUGGUUGGAAAGUUUUUUCGGUGUAGGAUGAGCUCGCGGCCUAUCAGCUUGUUGGUGGGGUAAUGGCCUACCAAGGCGGCGACGGGUAGCCGGCCUGAGAGGGUGGACGGCCACAUUGGGACUGAGAUACGGCCCAGACUCCUACGGGAGGCAGCAGUGGGGAAUAUUGCACAAUGGGCGCAAGCCUGAUGCAGCGACGCCGCGUGGGGGAUGACGGCCUUCGGGUUGUAAACUCCUUUCGCUAGGGACGAAGCUUUUUGUGACGGUACCUAGAUAAGAAGCACCGGCUAACUACGU